Molecule: non-coding RNA, 28 nt
Filed under: Homo sapiens (human)
Lineage: Eukaryota; Metazoa; Chordata; Mammalia; Primates; Hominidae
Source: RNAcentral
UAAAGACAAGGUCAGACAGAGGUGUUCA